AUUGAACGCUGGCGGCAGGCCUAACACAUGCAAGUCGAGCGGAGCGGCGGACGGGUGAGUAAUGCCUAGGACUCUGCAUGGUAGUGGGGGAUAACGUCCGGAAACGGGAGCUAAUACCGCAUACUAUCAGAUGAGCCGAGGUCGGCGUAGCGAGUUGGUGGGGUAAAGGCCUACCAAGGCGACGAUCCGGAACUGGUCUGAGAGGAUGAUCAGUCACACGGGAACAGAGACACGGUCCUAACUCCGACGGGAGGCAGCAGGGGGGAAUAUGGGACAAUGGGCGAAAGCCUGAUCCAGCCAUGCCGCGUGUGUGAAGAAGGUCUUCGGAGUGUAAAGCACGUUAAGUUGGUAGGCGUUACCAACAGAAUAAGCACCGGCUAACUUCGUGCCAGCAGCCGCGGUAAUUC
RNAcentral lists this ribosomal RNA (407 nucleotides) under uncultured bacterium. Its description in RNAcentral is "partial 16S ribosomal RNA". It matches the Rfam family "Bacterial small subunit ribosomal RNA", at positions 29 to 526 of the family's 1533-position model. The record is from RNAcentral.